Molecule: long non-coding RNA, 1087 nt
Organism: Strigops habroptila (Kakapo)
Lineage: Eukaryota; Metazoa; Chordata; Aves; Psittaciformes; Psittacidae
Source: Ensembl
UUUGAAUAUGUUAUAUUUGAAAUAUACAUGAAUAAUAAAACUACUUGCCACACAUAGUAUUCAUAUAUAUAUAAAAAUACAUUAUACUCCUAUGGCUACACUCUUGAUCUAAAUCAAGUUGGUGAACAUAUUAGUCUAUGUUAUUUUCCCUUACGUGGCACAGAGUUGAAUAGGACACGGUGAGCAACCAUUGAAUACACUGCAGAUGAUUACAAAACUUCUAGUUCAGCACUGGUGAAAAUUAGUUGGACUCUGAUCAGUUUGCUAAUCAACAGAAUGCAGUUUUAUAUAGCAACAAAGCACAGAAAUGAUUCACAUUGAAGAAUGUGAAGUUCCUCCAUUCAACAAUUUCACUCUGGAAGCAUAGACACUUCCCAUUACAUAUUAGAUCAUCAGUAAUUUACCCCAUGAGCUACAUUCAGUAUGUAGCUCCUGUGAAACAGCCAGCUGUAGUAUAUUCCUCACACAAGUAGAAAGAAAGCCUUGGCAAACCACAGCUGUGGUGUUCUGGUCACCCAGGACAAGUGCCCUGCUCAGCUCUUCAAUUGGCAGAAACAAGUAAUUUGCACUAACUGAGGCUACAGCUUCUGGGUCUGAAAAGAGGCAGACUUGCCACUGCAGUAUGCAGAAAGAACUUUGCCAACAUCCUCUUUACUAAUGGCCUGUGGAGUGGGCAGUCUCACAGUCAUCUGCUUGCACAGAUUCAUUAACAGCUGCUGAUUUUAUAGGAGGAAGAUGCUCUGUGUUUGGAAACACAAUAGCCUCUCCUCUAGCCUCCUGAACUGCCUUUGGGCUUCUUCCAACUAAUGCAGAUAAAGCAGGUUUGUCUAUCAGCAAGCCUAGUCCCCAGGCACAAAUUUACUCCUCUUCAGACAGCAGAGUGGCCACAGCACCUCUUUCACCCUCCCAGAAAAGGAUCUGCUGGAGGAUCGUACCUGGAAUGUCAAUGUUUAGAAAUUCAAGCUUUAAAGAUAUCCAGGAAAAAAGAAAAAAAAAACCCAAAACAGCAGCAACCACCUCAACAUUUUGCUGUAGGGGGCUUCGGAAAGUCAGUCUGAAACUGUAUCUGAAAUGAAAUUGCAACGUA